RNAcentral lists this ribosomal RNA (557 nucleotides) under Promachus bastardii. RNAcentral's name for it is "partial 16S ribosomal RNA". It matches the Rfam family "Bacterial large subunit ribosomal RNA", at positions 1796 to 2622 of the family's 2925-position model. The record is from RNAcentral. Lineage: Eukaryota; Metazoa; Arthropoda; Insecta; Diptera; Asilidae.
UCGCCUGUUUUACAAAAACAUGUCCUAUAGUUUAUAUUUUAGGUCUGACCUGCCCGUUGAUUAUUAUUGAAAGGCCGCAGAAUUUUAACUGUGCAAAGGUAGCAUAAUCAUUAGUCUUUUAAUUGAAGGCUUGUAUGAAUGGUUGGACGAGGUACUUGCUGUUUCAUAUUUAAUUAUUAGAAUUUUAUUUUUUAGUUAAAAAGCUAAAAUUUUAUUGAAAGACGAGAAGACCCUAUAGAUCUUUAUAUUUAUUAUUUUAUUAGUUAUUAGGAUUUAAUUUGAUUAAUAAAUUAUAUAUUAUUUUGUUGGGGUGACAUAGAAAUUUAAUUAACUUUUUAUAUUUUAUUUACAUUUAUUUAUGAUUUAGUGAUCCUUUAUUUAAGAUUAUAAAAUUAAGUUACCUUAGGGAUAACAGCGUAAUUUUUUUAGAGAGUUCAUAUCGAUAAAAAAGAUUGCGACCUCGAUGUUGGAUUAAGAUAUAGUGUUGGGUGCAGCAGUUCAACUUUUAAGUCUGUUCGACUUUUAAUUUCUUACAUGAUCUGAGUUCAAACCGGAGA